CCUACGGGAGGCUGCAGUAGGGAAUAUUGCUCAAUGGGGGAAACCCUGAAGCAGCCACGCCGCGUGGAGGAUGACGGUCCUCUGAUUGUUAACCCCCUUUUUUAGAGAAGAAAAUGACGGUAUCUAACGAAUAAGCACCGGCUCACUACGUGCCAGCAGCCGCGGGAAUGUGGAGGGUGCAAGCGUUACUCGGAAUCAAUGGGCGUUAAGAGGGCGUAGGCGGGUUAGCAAGUCAGAUGGGAAACCCUAGGGGUUAACCACAGUACUGCAGUUGAAACUGUUAUUCUUGAGUAUGCGAGAGGUAGGUGGAAUUCUUGGUGUAGCGGUGAAAUCCAUAGAGAUCACGCAGAAUACUGAUUGCGAAGGCGGCCUGCUGGAGCAUAACUGACGCUGAUGCGCGAAAGCGUGGGGAGCGAACAGGAUUAGAUACCCCAGUAGUC
RNAcentral lists this ribosomal RNA (440 nucleotides) under uncultured bacterium. RNAcentral describes it as "partial 16S ribosomal RNA". It matches the Rfam family "Bacterial small subunit ribosomal RNA", at positions 338 to 795 of the family's 1533-position model. The record is from RNAcentral.